RNAcentral lists this ribosomal RNA (467 nucleotides) under uncultured bacterium. RNAcentral's name for it is "partial 16S ribosomal RNA". It matches the Rfam family "Bacterial small subunit ribosomal RNA", at positions 28 to 507 of the family's 1533-position model. The record is from RNAcentral.
GACGAACGCUGGCGGCGUGCUUAACACAUGCAAGUCGAACGGAAAGGCCUCUUUCGGGGGGUACUCGAGUGGCGAACGGGUGAGUAACACGUGGGUAACCUGCCCUUGACUUUGGGAUAACUUCAGGAAACUGGGGCUAAUACCGGAUAGGAGCUCCUGCUGCAUGGUGGGGGUUGGAAAGUUUCGGCGGUUGGGGAUGGACUCGCGGCUUACCAGCUUGUUGGUGGGGUAGUGGCUUACCAAGGCUUUGACGGGUAGCCGGCCUGAGAGGGUGACCGGCCACAUUGGGACUGAGAUACGGCCCAGACUCCUACGGGAGGCAGCAGUGGGGAAUAUUGCACAAUGGGUGGAAGCCUGAUGCAGCAACGCCGUGUGCGGGAUGACGGCCUUCGGGUUGUAAACCGCUUUCGCUCAUGACGAAGCUUUGUGUGACGGUAGUGGGUAAAGAAGCACCGGCUAACUACGUG